This 253-nucleotide ribosomal RNA is filed under the name uncultured bacterium. RNAcentral describes it as "partial 16S ribosomal RNA". It matches the Rfam family "Bacterial small subunit ribosomal RNA", at positions 524 to 776 of the family's 1533-position model. The record is from RNAcentral.
UACGUAGGGUGCAAGCGUUGUCCGGAUUUAUUGGGCGUAAAGAGCGUGUAGGCGGUCAGAUAGGUCCGUUGUGAAAACUCGAGGCUCAACCUCGAGACGCCGAUGGAAACCAUCUGACUAGAGUCCGGAAGAGGAGAGUGGAAUUCCUGGUGUAGCGGUGAAAUGCGCAGAUAUCAGGAAGAACACCCGUGGCUAAGGCGGCUCUCUAGUACGGUACUGACGCUGAGACGCGAAAGCGUGGGGAGCGAACAGG